RNAcentral lists this ribosomal RNA (237 nucleotides) under uncultured bacterium. Its description in RNAcentral is "partial 16S ribosomal RNA". It matches the Rfam family "Bacterial small subunit ribosomal RNA", at positions 102 to 339 of the family's 1533-position model. The record is from RNAcentral.
GACGGGUGAGUAAUGCGUAGGAAUCUACCCAGUAGCGGGGGACAACUCGAAGAAAUUCGAGCUAAUACCGCAUACGCCCUACGGGGGAAAGGGGGCCUCUUCUUGAAAGCUUCCACUAUUGGAUGAGCCUACGUAAGAUUAGCUUGUUGGUGAGGUAAUGGCUCACCAAGGCAACGAUCUUUAGCUGGUCUGAGAGGACGACCAGCCACACUGGGACUGAGACACGGCCCAGACUCC